Molecule: long non-coding RNA, 1749 nt
Filed under: Triticum aestivum (bread wheat)
Lineage: Eukaryota; Viridiplantae; Streptophyta; Magnoliopsida; Poales; Poaceae
Description: long non-coding RNA (TAES_LNC006290)
Source: RNAcentral
UCAUAGUGAAAUCUUUUCAAAGACUUAUAUUUAGGAACGGAGGGAGUAGAACCCAGAGGUGACAAAAUUCGUGCUUAUCAUGGGUGGCAAAAUUUUACACCGGAACAGGGAGCCGCGGCCGAUCCUCUUUAUUUGAAGCAGCUGGAAGGUACACAUAGUAGUACUACUACGCUAUUUUACAGCGGAUCUCGGUCACCGUCGUGGCCGGCGGCCCUGCGCGCGCUUACUCACACGAAGGGAGGCGGGACGUCGGACGGCUGCGGAGGCACCACCUCGGGCGGGGUGCGCGGUGGGUCCACCUCCGGCGGCGGCGUCGGGAUCACGUCGGGGUUCGGCGGCACGGCCGGGAUCUCCGGCCUCGGCGGCGAUGGCACGAACGGCCCCGGCUGCUCCGGGCUGGGAGGCGUGCCCGGCACCGGCGCGCCAGGCGUCGGCACGUCCACGCCCGGGGGCGCGUUGAACUCCGGCGGCAUGUCGAUGCCUGGCAUCUCCUGCGGCGGCCGCGCCGUGCCCGGCAUCUCCUCGGGCGGCUGGGCCGUGGCCGGCACCUCCUCGGGCGACGGCACCGCGGGGAACCCCGGCGGCGUCGGCCCCGGAGGAAACCCCGGCGGCGUGGUGGAGCUGCACCGGACGCCCACGCGCCGACCGGAGCACGCCGUGCCGCGCAGGCGAGAGCGCAGGCCGCUGCUCCCCGCGGCCGCGGCCGCCGUGCACCAGGCCGGCAGCGACGCCCUCGCGAGGCUCACCGACAUCAUCACCUGCUGCCCGGAGCUAAGCCAAGGUCGAUGAUACAGUCUACAAAAGCAAAAGCGGGUGCGCAACUGCGCAAGGAGAGAACCACGGAGCAGAGGCAAGCGGCAGUGCCGACGCACUUUAACGGCCUUCACGUCGACACGCGUUCGGCGAGGAGACGCGCGGCGCGCGCCAUGGCACGUGGCCCGCGCGCCGCGUGCCGGGACGAGGCGGACACGUGCCCGCAUGGCCGGACGAUCGAGUUUCGGUACUGCCUGGUCGGUCGACUCCAAGCUUAUCACUUUUAGAGAGUGAUAAAAAUUGAUCCCCGGAGAAUGAUCUUGAAGUAAAAGUAAUAGUAAUAAUCUUGGAGCAGAUCAGUGAGUAGAUGGAUUUACAUUUACAUAGAUAGAAAAGGCAAGGCCAGCACUAGUUGUAGUAAUUCAGGAGAGUCAAUGGCCCAACGCUACUGGACUGGAGUCUUGAGGAAGGCGACGACGUGCGCUGCAGAGCUCUCUCUACGUCGGCAAUGGAGCUGGAGCUGCUGCUGCAUCGACUACACAAGACGAACGAACAAAAUUCUUCUCUUGCCGAAAGGAAAAAACAGAGAGCUCCACGGCACAUCGGCCUCCAUUAUUUCGCAGCGCCAUGCGGUGUUCGUCUGUCUGGACUGGACCGGACCGGAGUCACCUCGAUGAGUGAUGAUUAAGCCGUCGGCGAGACGAGGAUCGGACUCAGGAGGAGAGCAGGCGGCGGAGCUGGAGGAGGUGCUCCUCGUUGGAGAUGUUGAGGGAGAGGCGCAGGUUGGUGAGCAGCGACUCCUGCUCCCACGUCAGCGGCCCGGACGCGUGCAGCGCGCGCACCGUCGACCGGUACGCCUCCAGCUCCAGCUCGUGCACGUCCACGCCCGCCGGCCCGCCGUCGCUCAGCGCGCCGUCCGAGUCCGACGACGACCACGCGGCGCGCGGGGAGGCGGCCACCACGCGCGACUGGGCGUCGCCGCGCCCCACGGAGCAG